Molecule: long non-coding RNA, 2098 nt
Organism: Equus caballus (horse)
Lineage: Eukaryota; Metazoa; Chordata; Mammalia; Perissodactyla; Equidae
Source: Ensembl
GGGUGUCUCCGCACAGGCUGGUCUUUCACAAAGGCGCCCUCAAGACUCCUGAAAUCCCAGCCACAGAGGAGGAAGACUCUGGAACCACCUCCACUUUAACGGGCAUGGUGACGGAGGUUCCGCGAGGCGAAGGGACUUGCCCACGUUGCGCAGCAGGCAGUUGCUGGGGGCCUGCCACAUGCCAGACACUGUGUGAGGCACCCAGGAUGGGAAAGCAAGGUGAUACCAAGAGACACCAGCGUGAUGAGCAGUGGGAGCGGGGCGCCCGGGGCCUGUGGGAGCCAGAGGAGGGACACCUGGUGAGCAGGUGGGAGUGAGAGAGAAGCAAGCGAUAGUUGAUCUGAGCCCUUCAGGAAAAGAUGGUUUGCCAAGUAACAAGGGGGAGGAAUGGCCUUCUAGGCUGAAGGAACAGCCUAGAGGCCAGGAAAAAAACACGCCAUCCACCGCAGGGCCCAAGACAAGGAGCGGGGUAUUAUAUCCGGAUGAACCAAACGCUCCCCAAAACCCGCUGAGCUGUGCGGGUAGCAAGCCCCCUCUGGCGGGACGGCUGCCUCCGUGGGGAAGACGCAGCCAAGCCAAAGAAGUUCUCCUGUCAUAAAGAAACCACUGCUCACCCCAACCGCCAAGGACCAGAGUCGACGGCACUUAAGGAGAGACUCUGUCUUGGAGGCUGGCUUGGGUUUGACCUUUGUGCUGCUGUUCCUAUGAAUUCACCCACCAGCGGGUAGCUGAACCUGGAACGGAGGCCAGGUGUCCUGUCGCAUCCUGAGAGUUCCCAGAAGGAAAGCCGGAGCGCCGGGGAAGGCAGAUCCUGGCAGAUGUCCACCUGUUUCAUCUUGACGCGCUCAAGGCAGAAGAAGAAUUCUAAUUGCUGCCAGGCCGGAGAGGCGAGGCGCCGCGCACUUUGAAGUCGGUGUGGCGGCAGCCCCAGGGUUGGCGAGUUUCUUUCAGCUGGCUUUGUGCUCACUUGGAUCUUCCUCUGAAGGUCAUUAUCACCAAGGUCACUGGCAGCACUGCAUCUCUGGGAGACCAGGGGUGUUUGCUGGUUGUCGGAUGAUAUUUCUUCCGGGGUCCUAGGGGAGCCUUGAUUGUGCAAAUGCCAGGAAGUCUGAAAUGCCAGCAGUGCCGGACUCACUGACAUCAUCUACGCCCGGCAGCCCCCUCCACCGCGGGUGCUCUCCCCUCUUUUGCUGGGAGCCAUCUCCCCCACCUCCACGCCCUGGGAGAAGAUGGAAGUGGAUCUGAAGGGGGCGUGAGUCUCUAGUCAGUGUCCUCUGGAGUCACCGGGCAACCCCAACUUCACACUCAUGGGCCUGAGGCAUCACCUCUGGCUGCAAGCAGCUUACAGCCACAAGCUCGAGAUGGCACCACCACCAGCCAGUCGUCCAAGUCAAAACUAUGGAGACCAUCUUUGACUCCUGCCUGUCCUCAGGUCCCCUGGUCAUCAAGUCCUGGAGCUAUUCCCCUCCCAAACCUCUCUGUCCAUCUCCACCAGCCCUCACUGGCACCCUGGUCAAAGCCACCAUCAUGUCAAGGCUGGGCAGCCUAUUAGCCACCCAGCAGCCUGCCCAACAGCUUACAGUCUUAUCCUGCUGGGAUCUGUGUGCAAUUCUACAACCAGAGUGAUUGUUCUAGAAUUAGAAUACCAUCUCCCUGCUUAAAACCCGUCCGGUCAGCCAGUCAGUCAGUUGUUCACUUUUUCAAUAAAUAAUGUUUGGCCUACCAUGCACCAAACAUUUACUGUAUCAUUAGGAAAACAUCAAGACAGACAAAGCCCCUGUGCUCACGGCAGUUACCAUCUAGUGCACGUGCAUCAAGAAAUAUCCAACUGCACACGUGAUAAAUGUCAGGGAGUGCUAAGUGCCUGGAAGAAAAAUAAAGCAGAGAAGGAGAUAGAGGGUGACAGAGAGAUGGCCACUCUUUGUAGGGUGCCAGGGAAGGCCUCUCUGAGGGAUGAGAGAACAGAGAGCCCAGAAACAGACCCCCACCUAGACAGAGAUGAGCUGGAUACUAAGGGGUGGACGAUGGCCUUUCUAAUAAAUGGUUUUGGGAAAAUUGAAUAUCUAUAUAGAAAAAAUUUAUCUCCUACCAUCCCCCC